AAGUCGUAACAAGGUUUCCGUAGGUGAACCUGCGGAAGGAUCAUUAUUGAAUAAACUUGCACAGGCUGUUGCUGGCCCUCAAGGGGUAUGUGCACGCUUGUCAUCUUUAUCUCUCCAACUGUGCACAUAUUGUAGACCUGGAGUCCCUGUUGAUUCAUUUCGAGUUGGGACUGCUGUGCUUUGUACUUCAGAGUCAGCUUUGCCUUUUUCAUACCCAGGUCUAUGUCAUUUUCACAACCUCUUGAAUGUGUUUAGAAUGUCGAAUCAGGUCUUUUUGUACCUAUAAAGUUAAAUAUACAACUUUCAGCAACGGAUCUCUUGGCUCUCGCAUCGAUGAAGAACGCAGCGAAAUGCGAUAAGUAAUGUGAAUUGCAGAAUUCAGUGAAUCAUCGAAUCUUUGAACGCAUCUUGCGCUCCUUGGUACUCCGAGGAGCAUGCCUGUUUGAGUGUCAUUUAAAUUCUCAACCACAUCAAUUUAUUUGGUGAGGCUUGGAUGUGGGGGUGUUUUUGCGGGCUUCUGUAAAUUUGAAGUCGGCUCCCCUAAAAUGCAUUAGUGGUAUCUGAGCAGAAGAAACUACUACAGGUGUGAUAACUAUCUAUGCCUCAGUAUCCUGCACAAUCAGAUUGUGCUGCUUCUAACGAGUGGAGAUUCCUUUCGGGGGACCACAUUUGUUGAAUUGACCUC
This 685-nucleotide ribosomal RNA is filed under the name uncultured Inocybe. Its description in RNAcentral is "eukaryotic LSU rRNA". The stretch from base 299 to 452 matches the Rfam family "5.8S ribosomal RNA". The record is from RNAcentral. Lineage: Eukaryota; Fungi; Basidiomycota; Agaricomycetes; Agaricales; Cortinariaceae.